UACGUAGGGUGCAAGCGUUAAUCGGAAUUACUGGGCGUAAAGCGUGCGCAGGCGGUUUUGUAAGUCAGAUGUGAAAUCCCCGGGCUUAACCUGGGAACUGCAUUUGUGACUGCAUGGCUGGAGUGCGGCAGAGGGGGAUGGAAUUCCGCGUGUAGCAGUGAAAUGCGUAGAUAUGCGGAGGAACACCGAUGGCGAAGGCAAUCCCCUGGGCCUGCACUGACGCUCAUGCACGAAAGCGUGGGGAGCAAACAGG
This 253-nucleotide ribosomal RNA is filed under the name uncultured bacterium. Its description in RNAcentral is "partial 16S ribosomal RNA". It matches the Rfam family "Bacterial small subunit ribosomal RNA", at positions 524 to 776 of the family's 1533-position model. The record is from RNAcentral.